UUUCCUGCAAACAAGUUUGCAGGAAAUGCUGCAUAUAAGGCAAGGUGUCAAUUCGUGAGAGUGACAAGUGUCCUAGGUCAUGUGCAAUGCACAUGACCAGUUAACUCAAAUUUGAUGACUAACGGUGUUAGAAUUUUGCUUUAGAACCGUUUGCUCUCUCUCUCUCUCUCUAAAUUAGACAUUCUCUAUCUUCGUCCAAGAUCUCUCUCUCAUCCUUUGUGCUCAGCCUAGCCACAUCCACUCAUUCCCUCUCCAUUGGCCUCACUCCGCCGCGUUUCCACCUCUUUUUGCCGCCAAGAACCACUGCUUCAGCACAUUCUUUCGCAGAAAUCUCUUUGGUGAAGACGAGUACGACAACUCAGAAUUUUUCAAGAUGUGUCAAGCCAAUACCAGAUAAGUAGUACCGAUUUUGUGGCACUCCACUUUACAAUGAAAUAUUUAGAAAGGUUAAAGAGUGCCUUCAUGAAUUUUUUGGAACAAUAUUUUUUUGGGAUCCAAUUGAGCAGUCAACUUCUGAAUUGAAUUGGUAGUGACGACAAUGGAAGGGCUGCCACAGUUGCGCCACUUGAGAUCAUCACAGCAUUUGGUCUUGAAACAUACACUUUUUCCCUACCUUUUUUGCUAGAAUUAUGUAUUUUGGUGCUAGAACCUUGAAACAUAUACUUGUAUCGAAGUCUAUAUUUCAAUAGAACCCUUGUUAUUGUGGUUUUGUAAUCAAAGCAUAUAUUUCAAUAGAAUUUGUACAUUUUUAGAUUAAAA
This is a long non-coding RNA of Quercus robur (English oak), 759 nucleotides long. RefSeq lists it as uncharacterized. The transcript is spliced from 2 exons. NCBI's taxonomy places the organism in Eukaryota, Viridiplantae, Streptophyta, Magnoliopsida, Fagales, Fagaceae. The record is from RefSeq and is a predicted model, not a curated record.